Nerophis ophidion (straightnose pipefish) is the source of this 260-nucleotide long non-coding RNA. RefSeq lists it as uncharacterized. The transcript has 3 exons. Lineage: Eukaryota; Metazoa; Chordata; Actinopteri; Syngnathiformes; Syngnathidae. The record is from RefSeq and is a predicted model, not a curated record.
UGGAGACUUGAAGGGUGCCCAGGACGCAGCCGGGACAGUCUGUCUCCAGCCGACCAAAUGAUGACAGCACCACAGGUGAAGGCGUCAGGCAGCCAACAACGGCUGACUCGCAGACCCUGACACUUUUUGGACACCGCCUUGAAGAUUUUGAUGGCAGACACUUGAUUUUGUCUCUUGUUAAAAGUUUGAUACACAAAAAUGGUCACGAUGAUAAGAAUGAAAAAAAUGUUCUGCAAUUGUGUCAUCCCAGAUAGCAGACA